RNAcentral lists this non-coding RNA (31 nucleotides) under Mus musculus (house mouse). Lineage: Eukaryota; Metazoa; Chordata; Mammalia; Rodentia; Muridae. The record is from RNAcentral.
UGGGAAUGUUAGAACCUCACCUACCUGGACC